This 459-nucleotide ribosomal RNA is filed under the name uncultured Anaerolineae bacterium. RNAcentral describes it as "bacterial SSU rRNA". It matches the Rfam family "Bacterial small subunit ribosomal RNA", at positions 28 to 505 of the family's 1533-position model. Lineage: Bacteria; Bacillati; Chloroflexota; Anaerolineae. The record is from RNAcentral.
GAUGAACGCUAGCGGUGUGCUUAAUGCAUGCAAGUCGAACGAGAAGCUUAACUUCGGUAAAGUGGAAAGUGGCGAACGGGUGAGUAACACGUUGGUGACCUGCCUUCAAGAGGAGGACAACCACUGGAAACGGUGGCUAAUACUCCGGAUGUUAACCUAAUUAGAUAAGGUUAACUAAAGCUCCGGCGCUUGAAGAGGGGCCAGCGUCCCAUCAGCUAGUUGGCGAGGUAACGGCUCACCAAGGCGAAGACGGGUAGGGGACGUGAGAGCGUGAUCCCCCACACUGGUACUGACACACGGACCAGAUACCUACGGGUAGCAGCAGCAAGGAAUAUUGCGCAAUGGGCGAAAGCCUGACGCAGCAACACCGCGUGGAGGAUGAAGGCCCUCGGGUCGUAAACUCCUUUUCUGGGGGAAUAGAAAGGAAGGUACCCCAGGAAUAAGGUCCGGCUAACUACG